ACCUUUGUAGCACCAUUAGGGUCACAAAGAGUUAGUCUUUAUUAAGGAACCAACAGAGGAUAUUUCUGCACAGAAAGAUGAGGUGCCUGUAGGAGGAGAACGUAGUCCUGCUUACACGAGGAGUAGGUGGAAAUUGAAAAAAGAGAACUUGUGAUCAUUUGCUUCAAAUGAGACCAACGUGCCGAACUCCCAGAAGGAUGGAGCAGGAAGGAAAGGCGAGGUGGUAGGAAACAUGAGCACGUUUACAUAAAUGUUCAGCUCCUUCUGGGCUUGCCUAAUCCCGGUCCUUUGGAGUUUGCCUUUUACGAGGGUAAACAUGGUUUAAUAGUGAGCAAAUAUUCGUUCACAUAAUUAAAACCUGUUGAGUUGAACAGGAAACGUCCAAGGGAAAUCUGCAGGUGCCUGCAAGCAAGGGUGACUCUGGAAGGAUCUUGGUAUGUCGGUGCCUUCUCUCCCAAGGCUCCUACCCAUGGGACCGAGAACGUUAAUGUCAGAAAGAAGUUAGAAACUGAUAUUGAAGAGCAGACCUGUGUUGGAAAGAACAUAGUUCAAGGGAGACUGGUGAAUGAAGAAGGGACGAUCAAUGUGAUGGCUGGAGCUCUAGCUGCCACAUUGGACCAUGAAGUGAAUUCAAGAUGGAAGCCAUAUGCUAAGUAUGGCAGAACAAAAAGAUAGAGGAAACCUGGAACUUUGAUGACACUGUAGCUCCCAUACCAGCCAGAAUCCAGCCUUAUUUUGUAUGAGAGAGAAAUAAGCUUCUAUCUGAUUGAAACCACUGUUAUUUCCUCCUUCACUUGGGACAUCACAAGCCUAGGGAAUCUUUGGAAGGCUUUGAGCAGAAAGUGAAGAAUUAGGGAUUUUAUUUGUUUGUUUUCUGGUAUGUUUAUUUUUUU
Long non-coding RNA from Balaenoptera ricei (Rice's whale), 893 nucleotides. RefSeq lists it as uncharacterized. The transcript has 3 exons. Lineage: Eukaryota; Metazoa; Chordata; Mammalia; Artiodactyla; Balaenopteridae. The record is from RefSeq and is a predicted model, not a curated record.